Molecule: ribosomal RNA, 253 nt
Filed under: uncultured bacterium
Lineage: Bacteria
Description: partial 16S ribosomal RNA
Rfam family: Bacterial small subunit ribosomal RNA
Source: RNAcentral
UACGGAGGAUCCGAGCGUUAUCCGGAUUUAUUGGGUUUAAAGGGAGCGUAGGCGGCCUGUUAAGUCAGUGGUGAAAUCUUUCGGCUCAACCGGAAGCUUGCCUUUGAUAUUGAUGGGCUUGAAUGUAGUUGAGGUGGGCGGAAUGUGACAAGUAGCGGUGAAAUGCGUAGAGAUCAGGAAGAACAUCGGUGGCGAAGGCGCUCUGCUGGACCAUAACUGAUACUCAGGGACGAAAGCUAGGGGAGCGAAUGGG